This 506-nucleotide ribosomal RNA is filed under the name uncultured bacterium. RNAcentral's name for it is "partial 16S ribosomal RNA". It matches the Rfam family "Bacterial small subunit ribosomal RNA", at positions 28 to 523 of the family's 1533-position model. The record is from RNAcentral.
GAUGAACGCUAGCGGCAGGCCUAACACAUGCAAGUCGAGGGGCAGCACAGGAAAGUAGUAAUACUUUUGGGUGGCGACCGGCGGACGGGUGCGUAACGCGUAUACAACCUGCCUUCUACUGGGGGAUAAUUCGGAGAAAUCUGGUCUAAUACCCCAUAACAACCGAUGAGGCAUCUCAUUGGUUUAAAAGCUCCGGCGGUAGAAGAUGGGUAUGCGUGACAUUAGACAGUUGGUGGGGUAACGGCUCACCAAGUCGACGAUGUCUAGGGGGACUGAGAGGUUCACCCCCCAGAGUGGUACGUACACACAGACCAGACUCCUACGGGAGGCAGCAGUGAGGAAUAUUGGUCAAUAGACGGAAGUCUGAACCAGCCAGGCCGCGUGCAGGAAGACGGCUCUAUGAGUUGUAAACUGCUUUUGUACGAGGGUAAACCCAGGGACGUGUCCUUGGUUGGAAGUACCGUACGAAUAAGGAUCGGCUAACUCCGUGCCAGCCGCCGCAGUAA